This 584-nucleotide ribosomal RNA is filed under the name uncultured bacterium. Its description in RNAcentral is "bacterial SSU rRNA". It matches the Rfam family "Bacterial small subunit ribosomal RNA", at positions 250 to 832 of the family's 1533-position model. The record is from RNAcentral.
UGGCAAGGUAACGGCUCACCAAGGCAACAAUCCUUACGGGUUCUGAAAGGAAGGUCCCCCCCACUGGCACUGAAAUACGGGCCAAACUCCUACGGGAGGCACCAUUAGGGAAUAUUGGUCAAUGGGCGAGAGCCUGAACCACCCAUGCCGCGUGCAGGAAGACGGCUUUCUGCGUUGUAAACUGCUUUUAUCUGGGAAGAAAAAGCCCUUGCGAGGGAAAUUGCCGGUACCAUAACAAUAAGCACCGGCUAACUCCGUGCCAGCAGCCGCGGUAAUACGGAGGGUGCAAGCGUUGUCCGGAUUUAUUGGGUUUAAAGGGUGCGUAGGCGGCUGAUUAAGUCAGCGGUGAAAGUUCUCGGCUCAACCGAGAGACUGCCGUUGAUACUGGUUAGCUUGAGUUAUGGACGGGUACAUGGAAUUUAUGGUGUAGCGGUGAAAUGCAUAGAUACCAUAAGGAACACCGAUCGCGAAGGCAUUGUACUGGCCAUAAACUGACGCUGAGGCACGAAAGCGUGGGUAGCGAACAGGAUUAGAUACCCUGGUAGUCCACGCCGUACACGAUGAUCACUCGCUUUACAUUACGU